UACGGAGGGUGCAAGCGUUGUUCGGAAUCACUGGGCGUAAAGCGCGUGUAGGCGGCUUGGCAAGUCGGGUGUGAAAUCCCAGGGCUCAACCCGGGAACUGCACCCGAAACUGCCUCGCUGGAGACCCGGAGAGGGUGGCGGAAUUUCCGGUGUAGAGGUGAAAUUCGUAGAUACCGGAAGGAACACCAGUGGCGAAGGCGGCCACCUGGACGGUGACUGACGCUGAGGCGCGAAAGCGUGGGGAGCAAACAGG
RNAcentral lists this ribosomal RNA (253 nucleotides) under uncultured bacterium. RNAcentral's name for it is "partial 16S ribosomal RNA". It matches the Rfam family "Bacterial small subunit ribosomal RNA", at positions 524 to 776 of the family's 1533-position model. The record is from RNAcentral.